Molecule: non-coding RNA, 101 nt
Organism: Favolaschia claudopus
Lineage: Eukaryota; Fungi; Basidiomycota; Agaricomycetes; Agaricales; Mycenaceae
Source: the annotation of a GenBank genome assembly
GCCGUCGUAGACUGUGGUCGGUCAUUUCUGUUCAAAUGCCGUCUCUGAGAUCGAGAGUCAAGUAUACCAGGAAAGCGGAGGUUCAAAUCCUCUCGACGGCA